GACGAACGCUGGCGGCGUGCUUAACACAUGCAAGUCGAACGGAAAGACCCUGCUUUUGUGGGGUGCUCGAGUGACGAACGGGUGAGUAACACGUGAGUAACCUGCCCUUGACUUUGGGAUAACUUCAGGAAACUGGGGCUAAUACCGGAUAGGAGCUCCUGCUGCAUGGUGGGGGUUGGAAAGUUUCGGCGGUUGGGGAUGGACUCGCGGCUUAUCAGCUUGUUGGUGGGGUAGUGGCUUACCAAGGCUUUGACGGGUAGCCGGCCUGAGAGGGUGACCGGCCACAUUGGGACUGAGAUACGGCCCAGACUCCUACGGGAGGCAGCAGUGGGGAAUAUUGCACAAUGGGCGGAAGCCUGAUGCAGCAACGCCGCGUGCGGGAUGACGGCCUUCGGGUUGUAAACCGCUUUCGCCUGUGACGAAGCGUGAGUGACGGUAAUGGGUAAAGAAGCACCGGCUAACUACGUG
Molecule: ribosomal RNA, 468 nt
Filed under: uncultured bacterium
Lineage: Bacteria
Description: partial 16S ribosomal RNA
Rfam family: Bacterial small subunit ribosomal RNA
Source: RNAcentral